ACAGCAUUGAAGGAGAGAGGGAGCAAGGGAGGGGGGACAGAAACAAAACAUAAACAGACCAUCUCUGACAAAAUAGCGGCAGUGGCUGGAGAGGCAGAGAUGUGCUGCUGAAGCACGCGCACAUAAACACAAACACACAACACUCACACUUCGGGAAACGUCAUUCUGGACUGGCACUGACUCCACGCUACGAGCAAGCACAGCCACAGGACGUAUUGGGGUUCAUAUCUAGAUUGUGAGGCCAGACAGAAACCCGUGUGUUGGGUCUGGAACGUUGACAGUGCAGCCACGGUCUCCACUGCUGCGCUGGGACCGAAUGGUAAAGAGACCCGGGAAAAGUGACAGCGCGAACGGGUUGUGAAGGAGACUGGAUCAUGGCUUCUUCUCCAAUCCCAAUCACUCCUGUAUCGAUGGAAGGAUCGACACCGUCGCCCAAUGCGAAUGAAGCGCCCACCAUUGCUCAUCAGGUCGCCUAAUGCAGCGUAUCCAAGGAGACGUGAGGGAGAGUGCGUCAUAUGCUGCGUGUUUUGCCCCUAUUUCGUGAGGUUUAUAGUGAGUUUAGACUCAGGUUAAAGUUCUUUGCUAAAGGGUGUAGUCUCUCUACUGCAACAGAAGCGCUGCAUGCGUCCUCCUGUCUCACCAAUCUGUGGAUAUGACGACGCAUUUUAUUCUGACUUUAGCAGUUGCCAAGGCACAAGACGAUGUAUGGUGCAGAUGCACAACACAGUAAUAAGAAUGCUUGUUACAUUCUGCACACAUUUUGUCUUAGUUGUCAGCUUUGCGGUGUCAUCCCAAUUGGAAUCCUGGCUAUAAAUCAUUGGAUGCAGGGGUGCCCAGCCUAUUCAACGAAGGGCCGAGUGUCUGCAGGGCUCUGGUUCAUCCUUUCAGUUAAGACCUAGACAACUAGGUGAGGGGAGUUCCUUACUAAGACCUAGACAACCAGGUGAGAGGAGUGCCUUACUAAGACCUAGACAACCAGGUGAGGGGAGUUCCUUACUAAGACCUAGACAACCAGGUGAGGGGAGUUCCUU
Molecule: long non-coding RNA, 1031 nt
Organism: Oncorhynchus tshawytscha (Chinook salmon)
Lineage: Eukaryota; Metazoa; Chordata; Actinopteri; Salmoniformes; Salmonidae
Source: Ensembl